AUAAAAAAAAGCCUUCCUUUUUUUGUUCCAUAGAGGGAAAAAGUAAAAACUUUCCAACAACGAAAGAGAAGAUCGAAGUGGGACUGUAGCUAAAAGAAUCGAGCUUUCUGUUAGAAGCAGAACAAACAUUGCUUAUUCUGAUUCUGAUUCUGCGACAAGGGAAAUUUAAAAAAAAAAAAAAUGUCGUCGCCGGACAUUGCGGGAAUUUUGGAGAACUCGAGGGAGCUCGAUCGGUUAAGGAAAGAGCAAGAGGAAGUGCUUUCGGAGAUCAAUAAGAUGCACAAGAAGCUCCAAGCUACUCCUGAGGUAGUUGAGAAGCCUGGUGAUAAUUCUUUGUCAAGGCUUAAAAUUUUAUAUACUCAGGCCAAGGAUCUUUCAGAAAAUGAAGUAAAUGUUUCCAACCAGUUGUUGAGUCAACUGGAUCUUCUGCUUCCAUCUGGGCCUCCAGCACAACAACGAAGGAGAAUAGAAGGUAGUGAUCAGAAAAGGAAAAGAAUGAAGAAUGAGUCAGAUAUCUCAAGGCUUUCUCCUUCCAUGAGAAAUCAACUUGAAGCUUGUGCUAGUCUAAAGGGUGAACAGGUAGCAGCUAGGGUCACGGGUAACAAUGCUGAAAAGGAUGAGUGGUUCGUUGUAAAAGUGAUGCAAUUUGAUAGGGAAACGAAAGAAUUUGAAGUACUUGACGAGGAGCCAGGUGAUGAUGAAGAGGGUGGUGGCCAAAGAAAAUACAAGCUGCCCAUGUCAUGUAUUAUACCUUUCCCCAAGAAAAAUGAUCCAUCUAGUGCCCCUGAUUUUCCUCCUGGAAGACAUGUUUUGGCUGUUUAUCCAGGAACAACAGCACUCUACAAGGCAACUGUUGUCAGUCCGCCACGCAAGAGAAAGACAGACGAGUACCUGCUGGAGUUUGAUGAUGAUGAGGAAGAUGGUGCUUUGCCACAACGAGCAGUACCCUUUUACAAUGUGGUUCCCUUGCCUGACGGACACCGUCAAUGAAUCCUUGUUUAUAGUUGUGCAUAAUUAAAGUUGUUGUGUAGUGUUGUCCGCCAGACAAUUCUCCCCUUCUUCCUUUCAACUAAAAGGGACACACUGAUGUAGCAAACUCCUUCCUCGUUUGAGCUAUAAAAGUAGCCAAAUUCAACUUGCU
This 1141-nucleotide unclassified non-coding RNA is filed under the name Hevea brasiliensis (rubber tree). The record is from RNAcentral. Lineage: Eukaryota; Viridiplantae; Streptophyta; Magnoliopsida; Malpighiales; Euphorbiaceae.